UACGUAGGUGGCAAGCGUUGUCCGGAUUUAUUGGGCGUAAAGCGAGUGCAGGCGGCUCAAUAAGUCUGAUGUGAAAGCCUUCGGCUCAACCGGAGAAUUGCAUCAGAAACUGUUGAACUUGAGUGCAGAAGAGGAGAGUGGAACUCCAUGUGUAGCGGUGGAAUGCGUAGAUAUAUGGAAGAACACCAGUGGCGAAGGCGGCUCUCUGGUCUGUAACUGACGCUGAGGUUCGAAAGCGUGGGUAGCAAACAGG
This 253-nucleotide ribosomal RNA is filed under the name uncultured bacterium. RNAcentral's name for it is "partial 16S ribosomal RNA". It matches the Rfam family "Bacterial small subunit ribosomal RNA", at positions 524 to 776 of the family's 1533-position model. The record is from RNAcentral.